GGCUCUCUUACUGGAUCAUCAUCGAAUUGGGGCAGCAACAUUUAUUAAUUUUUGGAGGCUCCAUUACGGGAGGGAUAUUAGUAGCCAUAAGAUAUUUUUUGAGAAAGGGGACACCAUCGAAUAUUUUUUUUGGCAGCCGUAUACCCCACCUUCAGCUCUCAAAACUCAUCACCAGCAUCAUCAUUAUUCAUCAUCGAUCCUCCGCACUACACCAAGUCAAUCAUGAACUCAACUUUCAACCAAGCUUCGGAAGAUUGUACGAGCGUCAUGAGCGGCUAGUCGUCCCGUGACUGUCUCCGGGAAUAGGGUUUGUGUUAAAACAUUGGGUUACGUUUUGUUACGAUUGUUUUGGAUUAGGAUUCGAUUAAACCUUUGGUUAGUCGUUCCUAUUGUUUCUUGUUUUGAUUAAACAAUUUUUUAUUAUCGUAAUCAUUCUUGUUCAUCAAUUAUUUGGUUUGUUCAUCAACAACCGGGAUUAAAUUCUAGGAUGUCAUUAUCGUGGAUCAUUGCAAUCAAAUAUAUUAUCUGUUAAUUAUUUAUCAAAACAAGUUUUCAAAUCAUGUCUAUGUGACUUCCAAUUGGUCGUAAUUAAGUAAACCGAUUUUCUACAUAACCUGAAACCCGGAGAUUGGUCCUUUUCUCAUUAUUCUUCACAAACACAAUUUCACAUUCGUUUUCAUAAUUACUCUCACAAAUCUGCAAAAAGCAAUUAGUUUAGAAUUAGAUGAUAAUUAAAGCAACGAACUUAUAUACUUUCCACUGAUUCCCCGUGGAUUCGACACCCUACUUGCCCUUUACUAGUAAAAGGUGAAUAGGACACUUUUUAAUUAUAUUUUUGACCGACCUUACGACAUCGAUCAAAAUGGCGCCGUUGCCGGGGAAUCGGUGCGCUUAGUUUAGUUAGUUGCUUUUUCUU
RNAcentral lists this long non-coding RNA (916 nucleotides) under Helianthus annuus (common sunflower). RNAcentral describes it as "hypothetical non coding rna". Lineage: Eukaryota; Viridiplantae; Streptophyta; Magnoliopsida; Asterales; Asteraceae. The record is from RNAcentral.